Molecule: long non-coding RNA, 270 nt
Organism: Suricata suricatta (meerkat)
Lineage: Eukaryota; Metazoa; Chordata; Mammalia; Carnivora; Herpestidae
Exons: 2
Source: RefSeq, a predicted model, not a curated record
UGGCGGCAGAGCGCCUUGCCCCCUCCCUGUGUUCCCCGGGCCAGUACUCAGAGCCUCCUCCCGAGAGGAGUUCUUAUCCCCACCGCACCGCACAGCCAGCACCAGUCUCCAACCAUCUGAAUGAGAGAGUGAGCCUUCAGCUGAUUCCAGUCCCAGCCUUCGAGCCACCCCAACCGAUGCCAACUGGAGCAGAAGCAAGUCUUCCCUGCGAGCCCGGCGCAAAUCAUGGAGUUAUGAACAAAAUAAAUAAUGGUUGUGUUAAGCCUCUAA